Molecule: unclassified non-coding RNA, 374 nt
Filed under: soil metagenome
Description: partial contains 5.8S ribosomal RNA, internal transcribed spacer 2, and large subunit ribosomal RNA
Rfam family: 5.8S ribosomal RNA (bases 5-119)
Source: RNAcentral
GAUGAGAACGCAGCAAAAUGCGAUAAGUAAUGUGAAUUGCAGAAUUCAGUGAAUCAUCGAAUCUUUGAACGCACAUUGCGCCCGCCAGUAUUCUGGCGGGCAUGCCUGUUCGAGCGUCAUUUCAACCCUCAAGACCCCUUCGGGGGACUUGGUGUUGGGGACCGGCACAGGGGCCUGCCUGCUUGUCUUGCAGCGCCCUCGCCGCCCCCGAAAUGAAUUGGCGGCCUCGUCGCGGCCUCCCCUGCGUAGUAGCACAACCUCGCAACGGGAACGUGACGGCGGCCACUGCCGUAAAACAACCCCAAUUUUAUUAGAGUUGACCUCGAAUCAGGUAGGAAUACCCGCUGAACUUAAGCAUAUCAAUAAGCGGAGGA